CGUGGGUAAUUUACCUUUGGGUGGGGAAUAACAGUCGGAAACGACUGCUAAUACCGCAUAAUGCAGCGGCAGCUCAUGCUGACAGUUGUUAAAGCGGGGGAUCGCAAGACCUCGCGCUACCGGAUGGGCCCGCGCCCGAUUAGCUAGUUGGUGAGGUAACGGCUCACCAAGGCUUCGAUCGGUAACCGGCCUGAGAGGGCGAUCGGUCACACCGGAACUGAGACACGGUCCGG
This 233-nucleotide ribosomal RNA is filed under the name uncultured bacterium. RNAcentral describes it as "partial 16S ribosomal RNA". It matches the Rfam family "Bacterial small subunit ribosomal RNA", at positions 116 to 334 of the family's 1533-position model. The record is from RNAcentral.